RNAcentral lists this ribosomal RNA (497 nucleotides) under uncultured bacterium. Its description in RNAcentral is "partial 16S ribosomal RNA". It matches the Rfam family "Bacterial small subunit ribosomal RNA", at positions 28 to 507 of the family's 1533-position model. The record is from RNAcentral.
GAUGAACGCUGGCGGCGUGCCUAAUACAUGCAAGUCGAGCGAACGGACGAGAAGCUUGCUUCUCUGAUGUUAGCGGCGGACGGGUGAGUAACACGUGGAUAACCUACCUAUAAGACUGGGAUAACUUCGGGAAACCGGAGCUAAUACCGGAUGAUAUUUUGAACCGCAUGGUUCAAAAGUGAAAGACGGUCUUGCUGUCACUUAUAGAUGGAUCCGCGCUGCAUUAGCUAGUUGGUAAGGUAACGGCUUACCAAGGCAACGAUGCAUAGCCGACCUGAGAGGGUGAUCGGCCACACUGGAACUGAGACACGGUCCAGACUCCUACGGGAGGCAGCAGUAGGGAAUCUUCCGCAAUGGGCGAAAGCCUGACGGAGCAACGCCGCGUGAGUGAUGAAGGUCUUCGGAUCGUAAAACUCUGUUAUUAGGGAAGAACAUAUGUGUAAGUAACUGUGCACAUCUUGACGGUAUCUAAUCAGAAAGCCACGGCUAACUACGUG